RNAcentral lists this ribosomal RNA (253 nucleotides) under uncultured bacterium. Its description in RNAcentral is "partial 16S ribosomal RNA". It matches the Rfam family "Bacterial small subunit ribosomal RNA", at positions 524 to 776 of the family's 1533-position model. The record is from RNAcentral.
UACAGAGGGGGCAAGCGUUAUUCGGAAUUAUUGGGCGUAAAGGGCGCGUAGGCGGCUUGGCAAGUGGAUGGUGAAAUCCCUCGGCUUAACCGAGGAACUGCCGUCCAAACUGCUUCGCUUGAGACCGGGAGAGGUGAGUGGAAUUCUCAGUGUAGCGGUGAAAUGCGUAGAUAUUGGGAGGAACACCAGUGGCGAAGGCGGCUCACUGGACCGGUACUGACGCUGAUGCGCGAAAGCGUGGGGAGCAAACGGG